GGUGCGUUCCAUUAGGUUGUUGGCGGGGUAACGGCCCACCAAGCCUUCGAUGGAUAGGGGUUCUGAGAGGAAGGUCCCCCACAUUGGAACUGAGACACGGUCCAAACUCCUACGGGGAGGCAGCAUG
This 127-nucleotide ribosomal RNA is filed under the name uncultured bacterium. Its description in RNAcentral is "partial 16S ribosomal RNA". It matches the Rfam family "Bacterial small subunit ribosomal RNA", at positions 230 to 353 of the family's 1533-position model. The record is from RNAcentral.